UACGGAGGGGGCUAGCGUUAUUCGGAAUUACUGGGCGUAAAGCGCACGUAGGCGGACCGGAAAGUCAGAGGUGAAAUCCCAGGGCUCAACCUUGGAACUGCCUUUGAAACUCCUGGUCUUGAGGUCGUGAGAGGUGAGUGGAAUUCCGAGUGUAGAGGUGAAAUUCGUAGAUAUUCGGAGGAACACCAGUGGCGAAGGCGGCUCACUGGCACGAUACUGACGCUGAGGUGCGAAAGCGUGGGGAGCAAACAGG
This 253-nucleotide ribosomal RNA is filed under the name uncultured bacterium. RNAcentral's name for it is "partial 16S ribosomal RNA". It matches the Rfam family "Bacterial small subunit ribosomal RNA", at positions 524 to 776 of the family's 1533-position model. The record is from RNAcentral.